Dendrothele bispora CBS 962.96 is the source of this 97-nucleotide non-coding RNA. Lineage: Eukaryota; Fungi; Basidiomycota; Agaricomycetes; Agaricales. The record is from the annotation of a GenBank genome assembly.
GUCACUUUGCCGGAGUGGUUAACGGGAUCGCCUGCUAUUACAUAACCAGCGAAGCGGUUGGGCUUUGCCCGCGUGUGUUCGAAUCGCACAGGUGACG